RNAcentral lists this ribosomal RNA (605 nucleotides) under Lichtheimia corymbifera. RNAcentral's name for it is "eukaryotic LSU rRNA". It matches the Rfam family "Eukaryotic large subunit ribosomal RNA", at positions 107 to 634 of the family's 3401-position model. The record is from RNAcentral. Lineage: Eukaryota; Fungi; Mucoromycota; Mucoromycetes; Mucorales; Lichtheimiaceae.
GCUCAAAGUUGGAACCUGGCUGUCUUAGAUAGUCCGGAUUGUAAACUAAAGAGCGUGAAUCCAGGCAAGCCGGUUGAUCAAGUCCUUUGGAAUGAGGCGCCACUGAGGGUGAGAGCCCCGUAAAUCGACUGAGCAUUUGUCUUUUGUGUUUCGCGUUCAAAGAGUCAGGUUGUUUGGGAAUGCAGCCUAAAGCUGGUGGUAAAUCCCACCUAAAGCUAAAUACAGGCGAGAGACCGAUAGCGAACAAGUACCGUGAGGGAAAGAUGAAAAGUACUUUGAAAAGAGAGUUAAACAGUAUGUGAAAUUGCCAAGAGGGAAGCAUUUGGAGUUAGACUGACUUGAAGUUAAUCAGCUUGGUCUUUGGACUGGGUGUACUUGACUUCUAUGUCUGCCAAUAGCAGUUAGUCCUGGUGGAAAAAACUGAAGGGAAGGUAGUCCUUCGGGAUGUUUAUAGACCUUUGGAAAAUACACUGGGAUUGACUGAGGAAUGCAGUAGAUGCUAUUAAGGCUUCGUCUAGUAGGUGUUAGGUGAAGGUACUUGGUAUUUUCAGCUUGCUGAUGUGCUAGGUUACUUGAGCUUAAUUGCUUGCUAGAACUGUAAUCUA